Columba livia (rock pigeon) is the source of this 560-nucleotide long non-coding RNA. RefSeq lists it as uncharacterized. The record is from RefSeq and is a predicted model, not a curated record. NCBI's taxonomy places the organism in Eukaryota, Metazoa, Chordata, Aves, Columbiformes, Columbidae. The transcript is spliced from 3 exons.
AGAUGUCCCUUGCAGACAGGACUGCAAGACCCGCUCCUGCCAGGUUGGACUUUGCCUCCAAACGUGGCGCAGCCUCUUCCAUUGUGACAUCACCCACUGCCGUUGUGUCACAAAGCAGCGUCAGCGCUGAGGUCGGCACAGCAGGGGAUAAGACCAGGGGUCUCCCUGCGCCUUGGCCACUCUCGAUCUUGAGGGAACCGAGAUCGCAGAGUUUUUGGCUCAUUCCUGAGCAAGGAAGAUGCUUGUUACCUGCACCUCAGCAGGUACCAAGGGACACACAGAGAAGGUUGAACGUCUGAACGGGAAGAUGAAGGCACUGAAGGCAUCGACCCUGGUGCUGCUUCUCGGUCUCUUCUCUUUUGGUGUUUACCACGUGGGACGACUUGGUGCCUUAACCCCCUGGAGCACUGCAGACCUGAGCAAAACCCUGCCCCUGCCAGACCAGCUCCGUGAGGUUCAGGAACAGCUUUAUCAUCUGCGCUGGAGCACUAAGGAUGUGGCUGAGCGGGCUCUGCAGGAAGGACUGAAGCAGGCAAAGCUCCCAGGCGUUACCGGACGGG